This 253-nucleotide ribosomal RNA is filed under the name uncultured bacterium. RNAcentral describes it as "partial 16S ribosomal RNA". It matches the Rfam family "Bacterial small subunit ribosomal RNA", at positions 524 to 776 of the family's 1533-position model. The record is from RNAcentral.
GACGUAGGGCGCAAGCGUUGUCCGGAUUUAUUGGGCGUAAAGAGCUCGUAGGCGGCCUGUCGCGUCGACCGUGAAAACCCGCAGCUCAACUGCGGGCUUGCGGUCGAUACGGGCAGGCUGGAGUUCGGUAGGGGAGACUGGAAUUCCUGGUGUAGCGGUGAUAUGCGUAGAUAUCGGGAGGAACACCUGUGGCGAAGGCGGCUUUCUGGGCCCUUCCUGACGCUGAGACGCGAAAGCGUGGGGAGCGAACCGG